GAUGACGCUGGCGGCGUGCCUAAUACAUGCAAGUCGAGCGAACGGACGAGAAGCUUGCUUCUCUGAUGUUAGCGGCGGACGGGUGAGUAACACGUGGAUAACCUACCUAUAAGACUGGGAUAACUUCGGGAAACCGGAGCUAAUACCGGAUAAUAUUUUGAACCGCAUGGUUCAAAAGUGAAAGACGGUCUUGCUGUCACUUAUAGAUGGAUCCGCGCUGCAUUAGCUAGUUGGUAAGGUAACGGCUUACCAAGGCAACGAUGCAUAGCCGACCUGAGAGGGUGAUCGGCCACACUGGAACUGAGACACGGUCCAGACUCCUACGGGAGGCAGCAGUAGGGAAUCUUCCGCAAUGGGCGAAAGCCUGACGGAGCAACGCCGCGUGAGUGAUGAAGGUCUUCGGAUCGUAAAACUCUGUUAUUAGGGAAGAACAUAUGUGUAAGUAACUGUGCACAUCUUGACGGUACCUAAUCAGAAAGCCACGGCUAACUACGUG
This 496-nucleotide ribosomal RNA is filed under the name uncultured bacterium. Its description in RNAcentral is "partial 16S ribosomal RNA". It matches the Rfam family "Bacterial small subunit ribosomal RNA", at positions 32 to 507 of the family's 1533-position model. The record is from RNAcentral.